Molecule: long non-coding RNA, 2044 nt
Filed under: Capra hircus (goat)
Lineage: Eukaryota; Metazoa; Chordata; Mammalia; Artiodactyla; Bovidae
Description: lncRNA (ENSCHIG00000003904.1)
Source: RNAcentral
CCAGACUUCCAAAAGCAACAGGGUUCAAAUUAAAAUAACUCUUACUAUUUUCCCCAGGCAGUUAGUAAAGGGAAAAAGAAUAGAAAGACUGAAAAGGGAAUAUUUUUGUAGGAAGGAUGAAGAGAAAAGAAGAGCAUUAAUGUUAGAGGAGUUACUAAAAAUUGAAGUAACAAUGUUAGCUUGAUUAAACAGUUUUGUCCACUAAUGUCAGGGCGAAAUUUGAUGUCACAACCUGAUCACCAAAAAUACGAGAGGGCAAAUGUCAAGAAUUUUCCUGAUGUUUUCCUCAUGGCAUACUAUUCUAUUUUAGUCUUAUGCAUCAGCUAUCCAAGAUUUAAUACCUCAUGGAAUGUACUUGCUGGAAAGAAACAAAAAACUAUAUCUCACAACAUUGCACAUGAUGGAAACUUGCAUUCUUUGGGUUUAUUACUGGAUAUCACCCUGAGAACUGGAUCCCCACCCAGAUUGGCUCCUUGUAAAUGGAAAUAAAAUUUCUGGAAAUAAAAUCGCAUGUGAUCACGACCCCAAAGGAUGCUGUGGGAACUCAGAUGGGAGGUGAUUGUUGCUGAAGCUUGGAAUAGUCAGUAAAACCUUAAGAAAAAAAAGUGGGAGAGUAGGAUGCGAUGGCUGUGCAUUUUGCCCUGAGGAAAAUUCUCUAAGAUUCCAUUUUAUGUUUUUACAUGCCUUCUUAAGUCCUUUUUGACAUAAGGCCAUGUACAACUAUGUAAACCAAUUAAAUGGAGUCAGAAUUGGCAUGGAUGAUGUUGAGGCACAUACGCUUAUCUUUGUGAAUCUCAUGAUUUAUAUUAAAUAACUGGUCUAUAAAUCAACGGUGAGAAAUCUUGAUGUAGCUUGCCAAUCCAGAAAACCUCAUGCCAGAAACUCAGACUAAAUCACAUUUGAGUUCUACAUUUUUCAGAAGUGUUUCUAAUGUCAUUCUAUCUCAGAAGAUUUCCAAAGAAAUGAAGAGAGAUUGCGGUUGAUGGAAAGUGAGGAGGACAGUUACAAAUACAUUGUAAUACAGAAACAAAUCUGACCAUAAGGAGCUAAAUCUACUGAAGCUGCAUUUUCAAAAGGGUCCUUCGAGACCACAUUUAACUGCAUUUUCUGGUGAAAUUAAAUCAUAGGUUUAAACUUAAAUAAAUAUAUAUAAUUGCUAUUAUUAUAAUGCUGGGAAAAAACUGUAGAUUUGUAUAAAAGAAGGGAAAAGAUCAAAUAACAAAGUUUCUGCUAAGGAAAGCUAAAGCCUAGAGGCAAGUUUUCAAUUUAAUUUUUUGUGUUUUGUCCAUUUAUUGAUUUUCUUCCCAUAUAUCCCUCUAAGAAUCAACUGUAUGUUAAAACCAAAAUCUCAGCACUCAUUGAAUUACAGAAACGUUCUUGAAUUACAUGUAAUAUUCUUUCAUGUUUUCUGCCUCUAGGGGGAAGUGUGUUUUCAACAAUUCUGUUCCCAUAAGAUACUUUCUUUGUGGGCUACAGGCUUCAUCGCAUUAUUCUUCAAUAUGACUUCAGGGCUGGCUUAACAGGGAGAGGAGAGUCCUUUUGAAAGCCACUUACUUUAGAAAUUGCAGCCAGGCUUCUGAGGGAGAUGGUACAGCCUGCGACAACUGGUGGAGAACACUUUGUUCUGAUGGCAUGUAUGUUUCAAACAAUGGCUGGCUGAAGUUCCCUAUAGAAUGCUGUUGUCCCUGUUGGCAGAGUAAUGCCAUAGAGACACGAUUUCAUUUCACAGAUGGAAAACAAACAGCUGAAUACUUCAUAGAAAACUUGCCACUUGAUUUUAGCAAUAAAGUUAAAAAACAUGAUUUAUAGAUAUUGAUGAAAAGAGAUCUAAAUCUUAUUAAAAGUGUGUUGGUCUCUAUAAUAUCACAUUUAGGGCUAACAUUGCUUUUCAUUUGGCUAAUUUUAUUUUGCAGCAUUUCCCUGUGACUUUCCUUUGUUUUCGUUCAGAAUUGUAGUCAGAAAGAAUGCAUUCAGUGACAAGGUUAGUAAUCCUUCGAAUGUUAGAAAAAGUGCUUCUCCCUCCCUCUCCUGCCUCCCAUUUCAG